AUACCACGUACCACCACCAACAACUAGAUCAUCAUCAAGAGACCCAACAUCGCUAUGCACCCAACACAUCACCCUACCAUAGCCGCCUUAGCCAAAACACUCAACGAUCAUUUAACACCAACUGUCCCUCCUCAUACCAUAGCCAAGAAGCCCAAACAUCUCAAAACCAAAACCUUCAACAACCAUAUGUCUACCAAAU
This 199-nucleotide long non-coding RNA is filed under the name Lathyrus oleraceus (garden pea). RNAcentral describes it as "Pisum sativum (pea) long non-coding RNA (PSAT_LNC034449)". Lineage: Eukaryota; Viridiplantae; Streptophyta; Magnoliopsida; Fabales; Fabaceae. The record is from RNAcentral.